RNAcentral lists this ribosomal RNA (456 nucleotides) under uncultured bacterium. RNAcentral describes it as "bacterial SSU rRNA". It matches the Rfam family "Bacterial small subunit ribosomal RNA", at positions 340 to 786 of the family's 1533-position model. The record is from RNAcentral.
UACGGGAGGCAGCAGUGGGGAAUAUUGCACAAUGGGCGAAAGCCUGAUGCAGCUAUGCCGCGUGUAUGAAGAAGGCCUUAGGGUUGUAAAGUACUUUCAUCGGGGAGGAAAAACAAAACUAAUAAUUUUAUUUCUUGACGUUACCCGAAAAAGAAGCACCGGCUAACUCCGUGCCAGCAGCCGCGGUAAUACGGAGGGUGCUAGCGUUAAUCAGAAUUACUGGGCGUAAAGAGCACGUAGGUGGUUUUUUUAAAGUCAGAUGUGAAAUCCCUGGGCUUAACCUAGGAACUGCAUUUGAAACUGAAAUACUAGAGUAUCGUAGAGGGAGGUAGAAUUCUAGGUGUAGCGGUGAAAUGCGUAGAUAUCUGGAGGAAUACCUGUGGCGAAAGCGGCCUCCUAAACGAAUACUGACACUGAGGUGCGAAAGCGUGGGGAGCAAACAGGGAUUAAGAUACC